RNAcentral lists this ribosomal RNA (502 nucleotides) under uncultured bacterium. RNAcentral describes it as "bacterial SSU rRNA". It matches the Rfam family "Bacterial small subunit ribosomal RNA", at positions 999 to 1501 of the family's 1533-position model. The record is from RNAcentral.
UUCAGAGAUGAAUUGGUGCCUUCGGGAAUGUAGAUACAGGUGCUGCAUGGCUGUCGUCAGCUCGUGUCGUUAGAUGUUCCGUUAAGUCGGAUUACGAGCGCAACCCUUACCCUUAUUUGCCAGCGAUUCGGUCGGGAACUAUAAGGGGACUGCCGGUGAUAAACCGGAGGAAGGUGAGGACGACGUCAAGUCAUCAUGGCCCUUACGAGUAGGGCUACACACGUGCUACAAUGGGGAAUACAGACGGACGCUAAGCCGCGAGGUGGUGCUAAUCCUAGAAAGUUUCUCGUAGUCCGGAUUGGAGUCUGCAACUCGACUCCAUGAAGUCGGAAUCGCUAGUAAUCGCGGAUCAGCAUGCCGCGGUGAAUACGUUCUCGGGUCUUGUACACACCGCCCGUCACACCAUGGAAGUGGAUUGCACCAGAAGUAGAUAGUCUAACCUUCGGGAGGGCGUUUACCACGGUGUGCUUCAUGACUGGGGUGAAGUCGUAACAAGGUAACC